AUUGUAUGUGUAGGUAUAUUACAGGCUGAUCUAGCAAGGGAUUGUAUGUGUAGGUAUAUGACAGGCUGAUCUAGCAAGGGAUUGUAUGUGUAGGUAUAUGACAGGCUGAUCUAGCAAGUGAUUGUAUGUGUAGGUAUAUUACAGGCUGAUCUAGUAAGUAAUUUGUAUCUGUAGGUAUAUUACAGGCUGAUCUAGCAAGGGAUUGUAUGUGUAGGUAUAUUACAGGCUGAUCUAGCAAGGGAUUGUAUGUGUAGGUAUAUUACAGGCUGAUCUAGUAAGUAAUUUAUAUCUGUAGGUAUAUUACAGGCUGAUCUAGCAAGGGAUUGUAUAUGUAGGUAUAUUACAGGCUGAUCUAGUAAGGGAUUGUAUGUGUAGGUAUAUUACAGGCUGAUCUAGUUAGUAAUUUGUAUCUGUAGGUAUAUGACAGUCUGAUCUAGCAAGUGAUUGUAUGUGUAGGUAUAUUACAGACUGAUCUAGUAAGUAAUUUGUUUCUGUAGGUAUAUGGCAGGCUGAUCUGGCAAGGGAUUGUAUGUGUAGGUAUAUUACAGGCUGAUCUAGCAAGUGAUUGUAUGUGUAGGUAUAUGACAGGCUGUUCUAUCAAACGAUUGUAUGUGUAGGUAUAUAACAGGCGUAUCUAGCAAGAGAUUGUAUGUGUAGGUAUAUUACAGGCUGAUCUAGCAAGGGAUUGUUUGUGUAGGUAUAUUACAGGCUGAUCUUGUAAGUAAUUUGUAUCUGUAGGUAUAUGGCAGGCUGAUCUAGCAAGGGAUUGUAUCUGUAGAUAUAUUACAGGCUGAUCUAGCAAGGGAUUGUAUGUGUUGGUAUAUUACAGGUUGAUCUAGCAAGGGAGUGUAUGUGUAGGUUUAUUACAGGCUGAUCUAGUAAGUAAUUUGUAUCUGUAGGUAUAUGACAGGCUGAUCUAGCAAGGGAUUGUAUCUGUAGAUAUAUUACAGGCUGAUCUAGCAAGGGAUUGUUUGUGUAGGUAUAUAACAGGCUUAUCUAGUAAGUAAUUUGUAUCUGUAGGUAUAUUACAGGAUGAUCUAGCAAGGGAUUGUUUGUGUAGGUAUAUUACAGGCUGAUCUAGCGAGGGAUUGUAUGUGUAGGUAUAUGACAGGCUGUUCUAGCAAUAAAUUGUAUCUGUAGGUAUAUGACAGGCUGAUCUAGCAAGUGAUUGUAUGUGUAGGUAUAUUACAGGCUGAUCUAGUUAGUAAUUUGUAUCUGUAGGUAUAUGACAGGCUGAUCUAGCAAGUGAUUGUAUGUGUAGGUAUAUUACAGACUGAUCUAGUAAGUAAUUUGUUUCUGUAGGUAUAUAACAAGCUGAUCCAGCAAGGGAUUGUAUGUGUAGGUAUAUAACAGGCUGAUCCAGCAAGGGAUUGUAUGUGUAGGUAUAUAACCGGCUGAUCUAGCAAGGGAUUUUAUGUGUAGGUAUAUAACAGGCUGAUCCAGCAAGGGAUUGUAUGUGUAGGUAUAUAACAGGUUAUCUAGCAAGGGAUUGUAUGUGUAGGUAUAUAACAGGCUUAUCUAGCAAGGGAUUGCAUGUGUAGGUAUAUUACAGGCUGAUCUAGCAAGUGAUUGCAUUUGGGUUCAAGGUCACUGUUACAAAAAAAAGAGUUUUUGCUAAAUAACUUGUUUUACUGGAGGUUUGUGCUGUAAUUUUGUGUGUAGGUAGUUUAUGUGCAGCGCUUGCUAAGUUAAUUUAAGUAAAUAUAUUGAAAAAAGUUGUUUCUCUGCGUUGUGAUUUAUUUUUGUUUAAAUUUAUUAAUUUUCAGCUGUUAGUUUAUCUAUUCUAUAUAACUUAUCAAGCUAUCAACUUCAAAUUUAUCUUAUUUGCAAUUAAUACACCUUUGAGAAAAUCUUUUACUUUCAAAGCUGUAGAAUAGUCAAUCACAUUUUUUUUGGAGUGCUCUUGUUCACUCUUGCUCAGAAGUUUGGUGGGAAAAAUACACAAUGUGUGUAUGAUGGUAGAUUAAUGAUAGUUUGUCUUUAUUUGUCAUGGAUAUUUAUGUAAGUACUUGUUAGCUAAGAGUGUACUUGCAUUUACACUUGACAAGAAGAUAAAAAUAUUGCAAUUUUUCUUAUAUAUUUUCAUGUCAUUGAAAAAUAUGUGUUUUAUAAUUUACAAUCAAAUUUUAUUUUAUGAAGAAAGCUGUAUAUUCAACAGAAAACAUAUAAAA
Dreissena polymorpha is the source of this 2171-nucleotide long non-coding RNA. RefSeq lists it as uncharacterized. The record is from RefSeq and is a predicted model, not a curated record. Lineage: Eukaryota; Metazoa; Mollusca; Bivalvia; Myida; Dreissenidae. The transcript has 3 exons.